RNAcentral lists this small RNA (1081 nucleotides) under Pan troglodytes (chimpanzee). RNAcentral describes it as "retained intron". The record is from RNAcentral. Lineage: Eukaryota; Metazoa; Chordata; Mammalia; Primates; Hominidae.
AAGUGCUGCGAACCACGUGGGUCCCGGGCGCGUUUCGGGUGCUGGCGGCUGCAGCCGGAGUUCAAACCUAAGCAGCUGGAAGGGCCCUGUGGCUAGGUACCAUAGACCUACACAGGAGUAAAUCAGCCUGGUGUGCAGGGGAGGCAGACACACAAACAGAAAAUUGGACUACAGUGCUAAGAUGCUGUAAGAAGAGGUUAACUAAAGGACAGGAAGAUGGGGCCAAGAGGUGGUGCUACUGUCUACUUUAGGGAUCGUCUUUCAAGGCGAGGGGCCUCCUAUCUCAAGCUGUGAUACAGGGACCAUGGCCAACUGUGAGCGUACCUUCAUUGCGAUCAAACCAGAUGGGGUCCAGCGGGGUCUUGUGGGAGAGAUUAUCAAGCGUUUUGAGCAGAAAGGAUUCCGCCUUGUUGGUCUGAAAUUCAUGCAAGCUUCCGAAGAUCUUCUCAAGGAACACUACGUUGACCUGAAGGACCGUCCAUUCUUUGCCGGCCUGGUGAAAUACAUGCACUCAGGGCCCGUAGUUGCCAUGGUGAGUGUGCCUGUGUGGGAUACUCCAAGUAUGCAUUGCUUGUCAUCUGCGCUAGGCUCUCUUCUAGACACUGGGGAUACAGUCAUGAAUGAGACCAAAUAGAUACCUGUUUUCAUAUAUCAGCUAAUGGUUAGUGAUAGGCUUCAGAAAUGAAAUAGGUUAGUGAUAUGGCCAGAAAUGAAAUAUGCCCAGAAAUGAAUAGGAGUAGCAAAUGAUCACUUUAGAUUGGGUGAUCAAAGAACGCAAUUUUUAAGCUGUGAUCUGAAUGACAAGAAGCAGCGAUCUGAAUGACAAGAAGCAGCCAGCCAUGUACAGAAUCACAGUGAAAAACAUUUCCAGCCAAGCAAACAGCAUGUGCAAAGGUCCCAGGGUGGGAAUGAGCUUGGCUUUUUAAAGUACGGGAGGAGAGUUGAAAUGCCUGAAGCCUGAUGGGUGGGAGGGAAGUUGGGAGGUGAAGAGUUCAGAGGCAUGGGCAGGGGCCUCCUCUCUUAGGGGUGUAUUGACCAUAUACUUCCUGAGUGCUGGGAAGCUAUGGGACACUUCACACUU